This 1097-nucleotide long non-coding RNA is filed under the name Marmota monax (woodchuck). Lineage: Eukaryota; Metazoa; Chordata; Mammalia; Rodentia; Sciuridae. The record is from RNAcentral.
UAGAGAUUAUAGUCACAAACAACUUGCUUAGAAUCUGGCAAUUAAAGCAGUCUCUAGGCUAAUUUUCCCAAAUUGUAUCAUGAUCUGGGGUGACAAGUGUCUAUACACGAUUACAGAAUCCAGUUUCAAGCGUGGUGCAUGGGUAUAAUCUCAGCAACUGGCGGCUGAGGCAGGAGGACUAGGAUCUCAAGUUCAAGACCAGUCUGGGGAAUUUAGCAAGACCAUGUCUAAAAAUAAAAUUAAGAGAGCUGGGGAUAUGGCUUAGUGGUAGAUGCUUACCUAGAAUGUACAAGGACCUGGGUUUAUCACCAGUUCUGGAAAAAAACAAACAAACAAAAACAGAAUCAAAUUACUAUUUAGCACUUCCUUUGGGGACUUUUGUGUAUGGGUUGAUUUGGAACCCUGAAUAGGUCAAAUAAAAUGAUUUCUCAUAGAAAUCUUUUUCAUGCAAUGUAAUGGGUAGACUCAAAUAAAAUCUAAAAGUAAGGUCUAAAAUAAAUAUAUAAUAAGUAUUCUGUGGGUCACAUACAGUUUUAUGAAUUAAGCAGAAUAGGUUGCUUAAAAAAUUAGAUGCUAUUUUUCUAUAGAGAUUUCUUUAAAUGAAUCCUUUUUAUUUUAAGAUGGAAAUAUUCUAAAGAGGUGUAGUUUUGAUGGAUAAAAUUCAAACAACACUGCAGUUUCUUCAGUUAUCACUGAUUAGUUGAAAGGAAUAUUUGUAUGAUGUUCUAAAAUCAAAGUAUUAACAAUAGUACUGAUUUGCACAUUUUACACAUGCAUGUUAUUUUUUUAAAAAGUAAAAUUGACAUUUUAAAACAUGCAUAAGUUUUAAAUUAUGCAUAUUUCAUAUAAAUAUACCCAGAAAUUUCAUUUCUAGGAUAAACUCUCAAAACAUAUUCACAGCAAUACACUGAUUAACAUCAAAAGAACUGUUAUUGCUGCUUCAAGAUAGUUUCUAUGGCCCGGAUUUCUUUUCUUUCCUUUUUUAAAAACCAAGUAUCCUCUAAUUUGUGGAUAUCUCCAUGUUUCAGAUCUCAAUACCUGUUUGAAUUAAAUUUGCAGGGGAAUAACUGCAGGAUCCCCCCAUAGACAAACUAUAG